This 440-nucleotide ribosomal RNA is filed under the name uncultured bacterium. RNAcentral's name for it is "partial 16S ribosomal RNA". It matches the Rfam family "Bacterial small subunit ribosomal RNA", at positions 338 to 795 of the family's 1533-position model. The record is from RNAcentral.
CCUACGGGAGGCAGCAGUGGGGAAUAUUGGACAAUGGGGGGAACCCUGAUCCAGCGACGCCGCGUGAGUGAAGAAGUAUUUCGGUAUGUAAAGCUCUAUCAGCAGGGAAGCAAAUGACGGUACCUGACUAAGAAGCCCCGGCUAACUACGUGCCAGCAGCCGCGGUAAUAAGGAGGGGGCCAGCGUUAUCCGGAUUUACUGGGGGUAAAGGGGGCGUAGGCGGUGCAGCAAGUCUGAUGGGAAAGGGCCGGGCCCAACCCCGGGACUGCAGUGGAAACUGUUGAACUGGAGUACAGGAGAGGUAAGCGGAAUGCGUAGUGUAGCGGUGAAAUGCGUAGAUAUUAGGAGGAACACCGGUGGCGAAGGCGGCUUACUGGACUCUAACUGACGUUGAGGCACGAAAGCGUGGGUAGCGAACAGGAUUAGAUACCCCAGUAGUC